GUUUGAUAUGGGUUAUGUUAUGUCCGUUCUUGAUUGAUCCCCUCACAAGAGUCAAACUCAAAACAUGCAUAUAUACAAAAUCAAUAUUUUUCAAACCCAUUAUCGAAUUCAAUGCAAGGAUGUAUAUAAAGAAAGAAGAUGAAAGGGAGGCUAUUAUUUACAUACAUAAAAAAUAAAAAAGGAAAAAUAGUGUCUAAUUAUGUUGAAAUUAAGUCAUGG
RNAcentral lists this unclassified non-coding RNA (219 nucleotides) under Hevea brasiliensis (rubber tree). The record is from RNAcentral. Lineage: Eukaryota; Viridiplantae; Streptophyta; Magnoliopsida; Malpighiales; Euphorbiaceae.